CCCAGCCUGGCCUGGCUGCAGCAUCUGCCCAGCCUCUGCAGGAAGGCAUUUGGCAUCAGCUGACAGGCAGCCCAAACUGCACCAAAGGGCAUGCACACCCUGAGAUCCCCUGCAAUUUCCUGGUCUCUGGGUAGAUCCGGAGAAGCAACUAUUUGGAGAUGGGAGGGCCCUGGAGCAGCCCCAAGGGCCUUGGCCUUUCCCUGAUACUUAUCCAUAUCUUUGACAAGUGCAGUUUCCUGAAGAUGCCACCACCCUAAUGGGGAAUGGUUCCACCAGAUCCAGCUGUCCUUUUUCCUUUCUCCAGAUGUGGACCGAAAACAUUUGCGGAAGGCAGAACUUCCUGGAGGAAGUGAUGGCCCAGUGCCAGCCACCGAUGCACAAAGGGAGGAGAUGCCAGACAGUGCCACAGAAGAUAUUAUCAAUGAAACAGGAAUAUAUGCCCCGGAUCCAGUGCGCUUCCCAAGAAUUGUCUGUCCCGAGGAUGUGCGCAGGACCUGCAUGAUAGGCACAGUGGUGACAGUGUUCACUGUGCCACUUGUGCUGAUAGGGUGCUGUCUUGGCAUUCGCAAGCUGUACGAGCUCAGACGUGCUUCUUCCAGUUAUUUGAUAUAGUGAGUGAUGGCCUAAUUAUCCCAUGGCUGAAUUAGAAGACUACGCAGAUGCAAACCUGGAUGAUUCCAUUAAAAAAGCUGCAAAGCAGAUCCUGGAGAAGAGGGCAUACAUCUGCUCCCACCCACUGGACAGGACCUUCUGAUUCCUCCCUGAGAGCAGGCAUUCAUGAAUGUCAGUCAGUGAGGAAUUUGCUGCAGUUCCCACAUUUGGCAUCUUAAAAGCAUCUGUUAUUUAAUGUCUUUGCUAAAUAUUACUGUGUAAAAUAAAAUUUCUUUGUAACCAAAA
Long non-coding RNA from Passer domesticus (house sparrow), 897 nucleotides. RefSeq lists it as uncharacterized. The record is from RefSeq and is a predicted model, not a curated record. Lineage: Eukaryota; Metazoa; Chordata; Aves; Passeriformes; Passeridae. The transcript has 4 exons.